UUAAGCGACUAAGCGUACACGGUGGAUGCCCUGGCAGUCAGAGGCGAUGAAGGACGUGCUAAUCUGCGAUAAGCGUCGGUAAGGUGAUAUGAACCGUUAUAACCGGCGAUUUCCGAAUGGGGAAACCCAGUGUGUUUCGACACACUAUCAUUAACUGAAUCCAUAGGUUAAUGAGGCGAACCGGGGGAACUGAAACAUCUAAGUACCCCGAGGAAAAGAAAUCAACCGAGAUUCCCCCAGUAGCGGCGAGCGAACGGGGAGCAGCCCAGAGCCUGAAUCAGUAUGUGUGUUAGUGGAAGCGUCUGGAAAGGCGCGCGAUACAGGGUGACAGCCCCGUACACAAAAAUGCACAUAUUGUGAGCUCGAUGAGUAGGGCGGGACACGUGGUAUCCUGUCUGAAUAUGGGGGGACCAUCCUCCAAGGCUAAAUACUCCUGACUGACCGAUAGUGAACCAGUACCGUGAGGGAAAGGCGAAAAGAACCCCGGCGAGGGGAGUGAAAAAGAACCUGAAACCGUGUACGUACAAGCAGUGGGAGCACGCUUAGGCGUGUGACUGCGUACCUUUUGUAUAAUGGGUCAGCGACUUAUAUUCUGUAGCAAGGUUAACCGAAUAGGGGAGCCGAAGGGAAACCGAGUCUUAACUGGGCGUUAAGUUGCAGGGUAUAGACCCGAAACCCGGUGAUCUAGCCAUGGGCAGGUUGAAGGUUGGGUAACACUAACUGGAGGACCGAACCGACUAAUGUUGAAAAAUUAGCGGAUGACUUGUGGCUGGGGGUGAAAGGCCAAUCAAACCGGGAGAUAGCUGGUUCUCCCCGAAAGCUAUUUAGGUAGCGCCUCGUGAAUUCAUCUCCGGGGGUAGAGCACUGUUUCGGCAAGGGGGUCAUCCCGACUUACCAACCCGAUGCAAACUGCGAAUACCGGAGAAUGUUAUCACGGGAGACACACGGCGGGUGCUAACGUCCGUCGUGAAGAGGGAAACAACCCAGACCGCCAGCUAAGGUCCCAAAGUCAUGGUUAAGUGGGAAACGAUGUGGGAAGGCCCAGACAGCCAGGAUGUUGGCUUAGAAGCAGCCAUCAUUUAAAGAAAGCGUAAUAGCUCACUGGUCGAGUCGGCCUGCGCGGAAGAUGUAACGGGGCUAAACCAUGCACCGAAGCUGCGGCAGCGACACUAUGUGUUGUUGGGUAGGGGAGCGUUCUGUAAGCCUGUGAAGGUGUGCUGUGAGGCAUGCUGGAGGUAUCAGAAGUGCGAAUGCUGACAUAAGUAACGAUAAAGCGGGUGAAAAGCCCGCUCGCCGGAAGACCAAGGGUUCCUGUCCAACGUUAAUCGGGGCAGGGUGAGUCGACCCCUAAGGCGAGGCCGAAAGGCGUAGUCGAUGGGAAACAGGUUAAUAUUCCUGUACUUGGUGUUACUGCGAAGGGGGGACGGAGAAGGCUAUGUUGGCCGGGCGACGGUUGUCCCGGUUUAAGCGUGUAGGCUGGUUUUCCAGGCAAAUCCGGAAAAUCAAGGCUGAGGCGUGAUGACGAGGCACUACGGUGCUGAAGCAACAAAUGCCCUGCUUCCAGGAAAAGCCUCUAAGCAUCAGGUAACAUCAAAUCGUACCCCAAACCGACACAGGUGGUCAGGUAGAGAAUACCAAGGCGCUUGAGAGAACUCGGGUGAAGGAACUAGGCAAAAUGGUGCCGUAACUUCGGGAGAAGGCACGCUGAUAUGUAGGUGAAGUCCCUCGCGGAUGGAGCUGAAAUCAGUCGAAGAUACCAGCUGGCUGCAACUGUUUAUUAAAAACACAGCACUGUGCAAACACGAAAGUGGACGUAUACGGUGUGACGCCUGCCCGGUGCCGGAAGGUUAAUUGAUGGGGUUAGCCGCAAGGCGAAGCUCUUGAUCGAAGCCCCGGUAAACGGCGGCCGUAACUAUAACGGUCCUAAGGUAGCGAAAUUCCUUGUCGGGUAAGUUCCGACCUGCACGAAUGGCGUAAUGAUGGCCAGGCUGUCUCCACCCGAGACUCAGUGAAAUUGAACUCGCUGUGAAGAUGCAGUGUACCCGCGGCAAGACGGAAAGACCCCGUGAACCUUUACUAUAGCUUGACACUGAACAUUGAGCCUUGAUGUGUAGGAUAGGUGGGAGGCUUAGAAGUGUGGACGCCAGUCUGCAUGGAGCCGACCUUGAAAUACCACCCUUUAAUGUUUGAUGUUCUAACGUUGACCCGUAAUCCGGGUUGCGGACAGUGUCUGGUGGGUAGUUUGACUGGGGCGGUCUCCUCCUAAAGAGUAACGGAGGAGCACGAAGGUUGGCUAAUCCUGGUCGGACAUCAGGAGGUUAGUGCAAUGGCAUAAGCCAGCUUGACUGCGAGCGUGACGGCGCGAGCAGGUGCGAAAGCAGGUCAUAGUGAUCCGGUGGUUCUGAAUGGAAGGGCCAUCGCUCAACGGAUAAAAGGUACUCCGGGGAUAACAGGCUGAUACCGCCCAAGAGUUCAUAUCGACGGCGGUGUUUGGCACCUCGAUGUCGGCUCAUCACAUCCUGGGGCUGAAGUAGGUCCCAAGGGUAUGGCUGUUCGCCAUUUAAAGUGGUACGCGAGCUGGGUUUAGAACGUCGUGAGACAGUUCGGUCCCUAUCUGCCGUGGGCGCUGGAGAACUGAGGGGGGCUGCUCCUAGUACGAGAGGACCGGAG
RNAcentral lists this ribosomal RNA (2670 nucleotides) under Escherichia coli. RNAcentral describes it as "bacterial LSU rRNA". It matches the Rfam family "Bacterial large subunit ribosomal RNA". The record is from RNAcentral. Lineage: Bacteria; Pseudomonadati; Pseudomonadota; Gammaproteobacteria; Enterobacterales; Enterobacteriaceae.